Molecule: ribosomal RNA, 428 nt
Filed under: Bacteroidota bacterium
Lineage: Bacteria; Pseudomonadati; Bacteroidota
Description: Bacteroidetes bacterium partial 16S ribosomal RNA
Rfam family: Bacterial small subunit ribosomal RNA
Source: RNAcentral
UAGGGAAUCUUCGGCAAUGGGGGGAACCCUGACCGAGCAACGCCGCGUGAGUGAAGAAGGUUUUCGGAUCGUAAAGCUCUGUUGUUAAGGAAGAACGAGUGUGAGAAUGGAAAGUUCAUGCUGUGACGGUACUUAACCAGAAAGGGACGGCUAACUACGUGCCAGCAGCCGGGUAAUACGUAGGUCCCGAGCGUUGUCCGGAUUUAUUGGGCGUAAAGCGAGCGCAGGCGGUUAGAAAAGUCUGAAGUGAAAGGCAGUGGCUCAACCAUUGUAGGCUUUGGAAACUGUUUAACUUGAGUGCAGAAGGGGAGAGUGGAAUUCCAUGUGUAGCGGUGAAAUGCGUAGAUAUAUGGAGGAACACCGGUGGCGAAAGCGGCUCUCUGGUCUGUAACUGACGCUGAGGCUCGAAAGCGUGGGGAGCGAACAGG